UUCACUGAUAAAGUGGAGAACCGCUUCACCAAAAGCUGUCCCUUAGGGGAUUAGAACUUGAGUGAAGGUGGGCUGCUUGCAUCAGCCUAAUGUCGAGAAGUGCUUUCUUCGGAAAGUAACCCUCGAAACAAAUUCAUUUGAAAGAAUGAAGGAAUGCAACGGAAAUUAGGUGCGCUUGGC
This 180-nucleotide unclassified non-coding RNA is filed under the name uncultured archaeon. Its description in RNAcentral is "sgRNA from uncultured archaeon (PDB 7C7L, chain C)". The record is from RNAcentral.